RNAcentral lists this small RNA (776 nucleotides) under Pongo abelii (Sumatran orangutan). RNAcentral describes it as "retained intron". Lineage: Eukaryota; Metazoa; Chordata; Mammalia; Primates; Hominidae. The record is from RNAcentral.
UCACCCAGUAACCCAGCCUAGAAACCUUGGCCAUUCUUGAUUUCUCCCUGUCCUCCACCUGUUUGCUCUCAAGGGGUGGGAAUGGUUGGCUCUGGAAUGGCCUUUGAUUACCUCUUCCCUCUGUCUCCCAGGCCUCCAGAGGCCCUUGAUGGCUCUCCCAGUGUCCUCUCUUCUCCAGGAACGGGCUACCUGUGCAGGCUGAUGGCCACCAUGUCCACCAGUCCCCAGAUGGCACGCUGCUCAUUUACAACUUGCGGGCCAGGGAUGAGGGCUCCUACACAUGCAGCGCCUACCAGGGGAGUCAGGCAGUCAGCCGCAGCACCGAGGUGAAGGUGGUCUCACCAGCACCCACCGCCCAGCCCAGGGACCCUGGCAGGGACUGCGUCGACCAGCCAGAGCUGGCCAACUGUGAUUUGAUCCUGCAGGCCCAGCUUUGUGGCAAUGAGUAUUACUCCAGCUUCUGCUGUGCCAGCUGUUCACGUUUCCAGCCUCACGCUCAGCCCAUCUGGCAGUAGGGAUGAAGGCUAGUUCCAGCCCCAGUCCAAAAUAGUUCAUAGGGCUGGGGAGAAAGGAAGAUGGACUCUUGGCUUCCUCUCUGUGGCUGGCAAAGGGAGUUAUCUUCUGGAAUACAUUAGCUCUUUCAAAAACCCACCCAGUGUUUAGCCUCAACGGCAGCCAGUACCAGCUUCCCUCUGUGCAGUAUUUGCAUCUCUGACAUAACCACAGGCUGCUUGUUGUCAAGAACAGCAAUCUGUUUGGAUAAGAAUAACCUUUAC